This 417-nucleotide ribosomal RNA is filed under the name uncultured Gammaproteobacteria bacterium. Its description in RNAcentral is "bacterial SSU rRNA". It matches the Rfam family "Bacterial small subunit ribosomal RNA", at positions 64 to 474 of the family's 1533-position model. Lineage: Bacteria; Pseudomonadati; Pseudomonadota; Gammaproteobacteria. The record is from RNAcentral.
GAACGGUAACAUAGCUAGCUUGCUAGCUGAUGACGAGUGGCGGACGGGUGAGUAACGCGUAGGAAUCUACCUAUUAGUGGGGGACAACCUGGUGAAAACCAGGCUAAUACCGCAUACGCCCUACGGGGGAAAGCAGGGGAUCUUCGGACCUUGCGCUAUUAGAUGAGCCUGCGUUAGAUUAGCUUGUUGGUGAGGUAAUGGCUCACCAAGGCGACGAUCUAUAGCUGGUCUGAGAGGAUGAUCAGCCACACUGGGACUGAGACACGGCCCAGACUCCUACGGGAGGCAGCAGUGGGGAAUAUUGCGCAAUGGGCGAAAGCCUGACGCAGCCAUACCGCGUGUGUGAAGAAGGGUUUAGGCUCGUAAAGCACUUUAAGUAGGGAGGAAGGCCUGUAAAUUAAUACUUGCAGGAUGACG